UUUAUGCUUUAUUAAGCUAGGUUAGGUUAAAUUAUGGAUCAAAGCUUGUGAUUUAUCUCAUUCUAGGUCCAACAUGGCCCAAAAUGUUGAAAUAAAUUAGUGUGGGUCCAAAUAGAGCCCAAUUAGGNUCUCAUUCUAGGUCCAACAUGGCCCAAAAUGUUGAAAUAAAUUAGUGUGGGUCCAAUUAGAGCCCAAUUAGGGUUCUAAGCCCAUGAUAGUCUAAUUGGAAGCUUAUUGGUCCACUUGGAUCCAAUAAGGAAGUUCUAGUCCAAAAUAGACUUAACAAGAACUUCUAAGGUUUUCCAAUUGUUUGAUGACUACUUGUAGUACUUGUGUAAUGUAUUUGAUUGAAGUUUUUGAUUCACAUUAACUUGAAUGUAUAGAUUACAUGGCUCAAAAUUUUCAGUUGUGAUACUCCAAUAUCUUAAUCAUGACAUAUUCAGCCCUUCCACCUCAUUUCCUUUUAAAUUAAAUUCAAAUAAUUACCACGGAGCCCCUGUCUUCAUAAAUAUUUAUAAAAUGAGUCCCAAACUCACGCUUUUAACCCCUGACUUCUAAAAAUGUGGCAAUUAACUCCUCGAACCCAACACCCUGC
This 595-nucleotide long non-coding RNA is filed under the name Lactuca sativa (garden lettuce). RNAcentral describes it as "long non-coding RNA (LSAT_LNC006086)". The record is from RNAcentral. Lineage: Eukaryota; Viridiplantae; Streptophyta; Magnoliopsida; Asterales; Asteraceae.